Long non-coding RNA from Thunnus maccoyii (southern bluefin tuna), 248 nucleotides. RefSeq lists it as uncharacterized. The transcript has 2 exons. The record is from RefSeq and is a predicted model, not a curated record. NCBI's taxonomy places the organism in Eukaryota, Metazoa, Chordata, Actinopteri, Scombriformes, Scombridae.
GAAGGGUGGAGCCACAAUUUACGUUUCCUUUUGGACCAGACUGCCGACUGUAUAUGCUAUAUAUACACAUCUCCAAAUCAUAGGAGAGGCACAUGUCCAGACUCACAGCAAAAGAGUGUGCAAGCAACAGGAUGAAACAUGUGACAGACAGAGGAAGAAGAUGACAUACGGAGAGGCUUCAUCCAGCAGUCUGAGUGUCACUAUAUGUAGACUUCCUGUGCAUCGAGCUGAGCCAGGGACUGUUUCCU